Small nucleolar RNA from Choloepus hoffmanni (Hoffmann's two-fingered sloth), 94 nucleotides. The record is from Ensembl. NCBI's taxonomy places the organism in Eukaryota, Metazoa, Chordata, Mammalia, Pilosa, Megalonychidae.
GCUGUUCAGUGAUGAGGCUGUGGAAUGAGCGCUGGGCACGGUGCCCGAACCAGACUGAGGAAAUACUCCAUGCUGCCUUCCUUCUGAGAACAGC